GACUGAGUAAAGGGAAUGCUACCUGACCCCAACGUGGCGCAUCUGUUCCCAGCAGCCACUGGACCUCUGAACACCAACCCUAUGAACCUCCAUCAAGUGGUGAGUGAGAUGGAAUGGUGAAUUCAUGGAGCAUUCUCCAUACCUGAUUCAUGAGAAUUCUAAAA
Molecule: long non-coding RNA, 164 nt
Filed under: Felis catus (domestic cat)
Lineage: Eukaryota; Metazoa; Chordata; Mammalia; Carnivora; Felidae
Description: lncRNA (ENSFCAG00000042049.2)
Source: RNAcentral